RNAcentral lists this ribosomal RNA (820 nucleotides) under uncultured archaeon. RNAcentral describes it as "bacterial SSU rRNA". It matches the Rfam family "Archaeal small subunit ribosomal RNA", at positions 327 to 1156 of the family's 1478-position model. The record is from RNAcentral.
GGGGUGCAGCAGGCGCGAAACUUUGCAAUACACGAAAGUGUGACAGGGUCAUCCCGAGUGCCGACCGCUGAGGUUGGCUUUUACCCAGUCUAGAAAGCUGGGGGAAUAAGGAGAGGGCAAGUCUGGUGUCAGCCGCCGCGGUAAUACCAGCUCUCCGAGUGGUGUGGACGUUUAUUGGGCCUAAAGCAUCCGUAGCUGGCUGAACAAGUCCCCUGUUAAACCCACCGAUUUAAUCGUUGGUCUGCGGGGGAUACUGCUCGGCUAGGGGACGAGAGAGGCAGGCGGUAUUCCCGGGGUAGGGGUGAAAUCCUAUAAUCCCGAGAAGACCACCAGUGGCGAAGGCUGCCUGCUAGAACGCGCCCGACGGUGAGGGAUGAAAGCUGGGGGAGCGAACCGGAUUAGAUACCCGGGUAGUCCCAGCUGUAAACGAUGCAGACUAGGUGUUUGGACGGCCACGUGCCGUUCUAGUGCCGCAGGGAAGCUGUUAAGUCUGCCGCCUGGGGAGUACGAUCGCAAGAUUGAAACUUAAAGGAAUUGGCGGGGGAGCACCACAAGGGGUGAAGCUUGCGGUUUAAUUGGAGUCAACGCCGGAAAUCUCACCGGGAGCGACAGCAGUAUGAAGGCCAGAUUAAAGGUCUUGCCAGACGAGCUGAGAGGAGGUGCAUGGCCGUCGCCAGUUCGUGCCGUGAGGUGUCCUGUUAAGUCAGGCAACGAUCGAGACCCGCGUCCUCUGUUGCAACUAGCUUUGAGCUGGGCACACUGAGGAGACCGCCACUGAUAAAGUGGAGGAAGGAGCGGGCCACGGCAGGUCAGUAUGCCC